AGAGUUUGAUCCUGGCUCAGGAUGAACGCUGGCGGCGUGCUUAACACAUGCAAGUCGAACGCACCUUCGGGUGAGUGGCGGACGGGUGAGUAACGCGUGGGAAUCUGCCCUCAGGAGGGGGAUAACGGCUGGAAACGGCCGCUAAUACCCCAUAUGCCGAGAGGUGAAAUGAAUUUCGCCUGAGGAUGAGCCCGCGUCUGAUUAGCUAGUUGGUGGGGUAAUGGCCCACCAAGGCGACGAUCAGUAGCUGGUCUGAGAGGAUGAUCAGCCACACUGGGACUGAGACACGGCCCAGACUCCUACGGGAGGCAGCAGUGGGGAAUUUUCCGCAAUGGGCGAAAGCCUGACGGAGCAACGCCGCGUGAGGGAUGAAGGCCUCUGGGCUGUAAACCUCUUUUCUCAAGGAAGAAGACAUGACGGUACUUGAGGAAUAAGCCACGGCUAAUUCCGUGCCAGCAGCCGCGGUAAUACGGGAGUGGCAAGCGUUAUCCGGAAUUAUUGGGCGUAAAGCGUCCGCAGGCGGCCUUGUAAGUCUGUCGUUAAAGCGUGGAGCUUAACUCCAUUUAAGCGAUGGAAACUACAAGGCUUGAGUGUGGUAGGGGCAGAGGGAAUUCCCGGUGUAGCGGUGAAAUGCGUAGAUAUCGGGAAGAACACCAGUGGCGAAGGCGCUCUGCUGGGCCAUAACUGACGCUCAUGGACGAAAGCCAGGGGAGCGAAAGGGAUUAGAUACCCCUGUAGUCCUGGCCGUAAACGAUGAACACUAGGUGUCGGGGGAAUCGACCCCCUCGGUGUCGUAGCUAACGCGUUAAGUGUUCCGCCUGGGGAGUACGCACGCAAGUGUGAAACUCAAAGGAAUUGACGGGGGCCCGCACAAGCGGUGGAGUAUGUGGUUUAAUUCGAUGCAACGCGAAGAACCUUACCAGGGUUUGACAUCCUGCGAAUCCCUUGGAAACUUGGGAGUGCCUUCGGGAGCGCAGAGACAGGUGGUGCAUGGCUGUCGUCAGCUCGUGUCGUGAGAUGUUGGGUUAAGUCCCGCAACGAGCGCAACCCACGUCUUUAGUUGCCAGCAUUCAGUUGGGCACUCUAGAGAGACCGCCGGUGAUAAACCGGAGGAAGGUGUGGAUGACGUCAAGUCAUCAUGCCCCUUACAUCCUGGGCUACACACGUACUACAAUGCUACGGACAAAGGGCAGCAAGCUCGCGAGAGUUAGCAAAUCCCAUAAACCGUGGCUCAGUUCAGAUCGUAGGCUGCAACUCGCCUACGUGAAGGAGGAAUCGCUAGUAAUCGCAGGUCAGCAUACUGCGGUGAAUACGUUCCCGGGCCUUGUACACACCGCCCGUCACACCAUGGAAGUUGGCCAUGCCCGAAGUCGUUACUCCAACCCUUGUGGAGGAGGUCGCCGAAGGUGGGGCUGAUGACUGGGGUGAAGUCGGAACAAGGUA
Molecule: ribosomal RNA, 1443 nt
Filed under: metagenome
Description: bacterial SSU rRNA
Rfam family: Bacterial small subunit ribosomal RNA
Source: RNAcentral